AGGGAAAUAAGGGAGGUAAGCAUAAAACUACUUUGUCACAUUCUUCUAGAUUACAAGCACCUAGGCCUGCAGACACCCAACAAUCCCUAUCUACAAAGCAACCUACACAUCAUCCCAUAUCUCAAACACAUACUAACUUCCCACCUUUCCUCUCUACUUCAAGUCCACAAAUGUCUACUAUCCAUGCUCCCACUUCUCAAAUACCUACAAAUACCCAACAACCCCACUCUACAAUGAAACCUACACAUCAUCUUACAUCUAAAACACCUUCAAAUAUCCAACAAUCCCUAUCUACAAAGCAGCCUACACAUCAUCCCAUAUCUCAAACACAUACAAACUUCCCACCUUUCCUCUCUACUUCAAGUCCACAAAUGUCUACUGUCCAUGCUCCCACUUCUCAAAUACCUACAAAUACCCAACAACCCCACUCUACAAGGAAACCUACACAUCAUCUUACAUCUAAAACACCUUCAAAUAUCCAACAAUCCCUAUUUACAAAGCAACCUACACAUCAUCCCUCUCAAAAAAAUACAAACUUCCCACCUUUCCUCUCUACUUCAAGUCCACAAAUGUCUACUGUCCAUGCUCCCACUUCUCAAAUACCUACAAAUACCCAACAACCCCACUCUACAAGGAAACCUACACAUCAUCUUACAUCUAACACACCUUCAAAUAUCCAACUUCCACAACCUACAAGGCAACUGAAACAUCAUCCCAUAUCUCAAACAUUUACAAAUUUCCCACCUUUCCUCUCUACUCCAAGUCCACAAAUGUCUACAAUUCAUGCUCCCACCUCUCAAAUACCUACAUAUAUCCAAUCUCCCCACUCUACUCCUAGUCCACCACAUCUUUCUAAUACACAUAGACCAUAUGAUGUUGUAUCUGGUGGUGAUCCACAUGCAUCAUCAUCAUUAUGUGAUGAUUCGUAUCCGAUAGCUGGGAGUACAGAUCCUACUGAUAGGCGUAUAUGGAUCCGUCCGGGACCACAGUUAAUGUAAGAUUUUUUAUAAGAUUUUCCGUUUAAUUCUAUAAUAACUUGUAUCCUUGU
This 1048-nucleotide long non-coding RNA is filed under the name Medicago truncatula (barrel medic). RNAcentral's name for it is "long non-coding RNA (MTRU_LNC004014)". The record is from RNAcentral. Lineage: Eukaryota; Viridiplantae; Streptophyta; Magnoliopsida; Fabales; Fabaceae.